GAUGAAGAACGUAGCGAAAUGCGAUAAGUAAUGUGAAUUGCAGAAUUCAGUGAAUCAUCGAAUCUUUGAACGCACAUUGCGCCCCCUGGUAUUCCGGGGGGCAUGCCUGUUCGAGCGUCAUUUCACCACUCAAGCCUCGCUUGGUAUUGGGCGACGCGGUCCGCCGCGCGCCUCAAAUCGACCGGCUGGGUCUUCCGUCCCCUCAGCGUUGUGGAAACUAUUCGCUAAAGGGUGCCGCGGGAGGUCACGCCGCAAAACAACCCCAUUUCUAAGGUUGACCUCGGAUCAGGUAGGGAUACCCGCUGAACUUAAGCAUAUCAAAAGCGGAGGA
Molecule: unclassified non-coding RNA, 331 nt
Filed under: soil metagenome
Description: partial contains 5.8S ribosomal RNA, internal transcribed spacer 2, and large subunit ribosomal RNA
Rfam family: 5.8S ribosomal RNA (bases 1-120)
Source: RNAcentral